Molecule: unclassified non-coding RNA, 261 nt
Filed under: fungal sp.
Lineage: Eukaryota; Fungi
Also listed under: 1 other name
Description: partial internal transcribed spacer region
Rfam family: Eukaryotic small subunit ribosomal RNA (bases 1-46)
Source: RNAcentral
AAGUCGUAACAAGGUUUCCGUAGGUGAACCUGCGGAAGGAUCAUUACUGAGUAAAUUGGGUCUCUAUGGCCCAUACUCCCACCCUUUUGUGUACCUUACCAAUUAUUAAGUUGCCUUGGUAGGAACCUACUCCCCUCCCUCUAACGAGGGAGCAGCAGUAGGCCUACCAUUGGAACUCUUUCAAAACUCUUUUAUGAAUUGAGUCGUCUGAGAAUAAAUUCAAAUGAAUUAAAACUUUCAACAACGGAUCUCUUGGUUCUG